Molecule: non-coding RNA, 95 nt
Filed under: Jaculus jaculus (lesser Egyptian jerboa)
Lineage: Eukaryota; Metazoa; Chordata; Mammalia; Rodentia; Dipodidae
Source: RNAcentral
AGCCGGUCCGAAAUUGAAUGUUCACAGUCAGUUACAGAUUGAACUCCUUGUUCUAUGCUUUCCCCCUUCUCACUACUGCACUUGGCGAGUCUAAA